UACCGGUUAGUACCCUGGAGAUGGGAAAGUAGUUAGUCAUACUUGACCAAAGCUGUGUCAGGAGGAUCUUGCGGGGCGCGUGGAGAUCACCAGGGUGGUGUAGUUUUGUAGCAUGAUCAGAUUAGGUGGUUGUAUAAGGACUAGAUGUCUUUCUCUUGGGAUUGUAUUUAUUUCAUUUUGGAAGAUUGUAUCUAAGCUUAAACUGUCUGAUGACUUUUUCUUUUAAUGGGUCCAUGUUCCACAUUUUGAUGUGAUGUGGGGAAAGUAGAGAUUCUUGGGGCAGUGCUUUUAUGCAGGUGUCUGCCGAGAAUACUCCAAGGGUAUGAGCUAUGUCUGAUGGGUCUCAUAGCCCC
This 353-nucleotide long non-coding RNA is filed under the name Cicer arietinum (chickpea). RNAcentral's name for it is "long non-coding RNA (CARI_LNC001798)". Lineage: Eukaryota; Viridiplantae; Streptophyta; Magnoliopsida; Fabales; Fabaceae. The record is from RNAcentral.